AAGAAGUUAGUUUAACUAAAACCUUUGAUUUCGGCUCAAAAACUUGUGGUUUAAUUCCACAACUUCUUA
Molecule: transfer RNA, 69 nt
Filed under: Symphurus plagiusa (blackcheek tonguefish)
Lineage: Eukaryota; Metazoa; Chordata; Actinopteri; Pleuronectiformes; Cynoglossidae
Also listed under: 1 other name
Description: tRNA-Arg
Rfam family: tRNA
About the family: Transfer RNA (tRNA) molecules are approximately 80 nucleotides in length.
Source: RNAcentral